Molecule: ribosomal RNA, 274 nt
Filed under: uncultured bacterium
Lineage: Bacteria
Description: partial 16S ribosomal RNA
Rfam family: Bacterial small subunit ribosomal RNA
Source: RNAcentral
AUACGGAGGGUCCGAGCGUUAAUCGGAAUUACUGGGCGUAAAGCGCGCGUAGGCGGAUAUUUAAGUCAGAUGUGAAAUCCCUGGGCUCAACCUAGGAACUGCAUUUGAAACUGGAUAUCUAGAGUAAGGUAGAGGUGAGUGGAAUUUCAGGUGUAGCGGUGAAAUGCGUAGAGAUCUGAAGGAACAUCAGUGGCGAAGGCGACUCACUGGGCCAUUACUGACGCUGAGGUGCGAAAGCGUGGGUAACAAACAGGAUUAGAAACCCCUGUAGUCC